RNAcentral lists this ribosomal RNA (255 nucleotides) under uncultured bacterium. RNAcentral describes it as "partial 16S ribosomal RNA". The record is from RNAcentral.
CUGCUGCCUUCCGUAGGAGUUUGGGCCGUGUCUCAGUCCCAAUGUGGCCGUUCACCCUCUCAGGCCGGCUACUGAUCGUCGCUUUGGUAGGCCGUUACCCUGCCAACUGGCUAAUCAGACGCGGGUCCAUCUCAUACCACCGGAGUUUUUACCACUGCACCAUGCAGUGCUGUGGUCUUAUGCGGUAUUAGCAGUCAUUUCUAACUGUUAUCCCCCUGUAUGAGGCAGGUUACCCACGCGUUACUCACCCGUCCG